Molecule: ribosomal RNA, 258 nt
Filed under: uncultured bacterium
Lineage: Bacteria
Description: partial 16S ribosomal RNA
Rfam family: Bacterial small subunit ribosomal RNA
Source: RNAcentral
UACGGAGGGUGCGAGCGUUGUCCGGAAUCAUUGGGCGUAAAGGGCGCGUAGGUGGCCCGGUCAGUUCGUGGUGAAAGCGCGGGGCUCAACCCUGCGUCGGCCAUGAAUACUGCCGCGGCUGGAGCACUGUAGAGGCAGGCGGAAUUCCGGGUGUAGCGGUGGAAUGCGUAGAGAUCCGGAAGAACACCGGUGGCGAAGGCGGCCUGCUGGGCCAGUUGCUGGACACUGAGGCGCGGACAGCGUGGGGAGCAAACAGGG